This 403-nucleotide ribosomal RNA is filed under the name Fusobacteriota bacterium. RNAcentral describes it as "Fusobacteria bacterium partial 16S ribosomal RNA". It matches the Rfam family "Bacterial small subunit ribosomal RNA", at positions 355 to 776 of the family's 1533-position model. Lineage: Bacteria; Fusobacteriati; Fusobacteriota. The record is from RNAcentral.
UGGGGAAUAUUGCACAAUGGAGGGAACUCUGAUGCAGCGACGCCGCGUGAACGAAGAAGGCUUUCGAGUCGUAAAGUUCUUUUAUAUGGGAAGAUAAUGACGGUACCAUAAGAAAAAGCCCCGGCUAACUACGUGCCAGCAGCCGCGGUAAUACGUAGGGGGCUAGCGUUGUCCGGAAUCACUGGGCGUAAAGGGUUCGCAGGCGGAAAUGCAAGUCAGGUGUAAAAGGCAGUAGCUUAACUACUGUAAGCAUUUGAAACUGCAUAUCUUGAGAAGAGUAGAGGUAAGUGGAAUUUUUAGUUUAGCGGUGAAAUGCGUAGAUAUUAAAAAGAAUACCGGUGGCGAAUGCGACUUACUGGGCUCAUUCUGACGCUGAGGAACGAAAGCGUGGGUAGCAAACAGG